RNAcentral lists this transfer RNA (72 nucleotides) under Bos taurus (domestic cattle). It matches the Rfam family "tRNA". Rfam says of the family: Transfer RNA (tRNA) molecules are approximately 80 nucleotides in length. Lineage: Eukaryota; Metazoa; Chordata; Mammalia; Artiodactyla; Bovidae. The record is from Rfam by way of RNAcentral. RNAcentral also lists the same sequence under 2 other names.
UCCCUUGUGACUCAGCUGGUAAAGAAUCCACCUGCAAUGUGGGAGACCUGGGUUCGAUCCUUGGCUUGGGAA